CCUCUGAUUAUUACCCAACAGCCUUUGCUUUGCUUUGCUGUGUGUAUGAUGAAAACGCGUCUCUGCUGGCCUCUGCUGGUCGAGAACAACUGAAUUCAUUUAUAUUUCCUUUAUUUGUGCGUUCAAACAUUUUAGAUUUACAAUAGAGAAUGCAACUUUAUUUAAAACACCCAUUAGAUAUUUUAUGUAAUAUAAAAGCCAUCUAUAUGUGAAAAUUUGAGUAAAGGUUUCAGUGAUUUUACUGCGCAUGCGUGCGUUAUGACUUUCCUCAAAGUCGUUGCGUCACAGGAAGUAGAAGAACUUCCGUCGGUCUGAAGCGUGAUGCCUUCAAAUUGAUAGUUUUGGAUUAAAAUAUUUGCUUAUAUACGCGUUUCUGUUGGGAUUUUUAGACAGGUGUUGACAGCAUGGCACCCCUGCUGCUCCCGUGUCUUGUUGGUUCCUUGACUCGGCAGUUGGCAAGAGUUGCCAGAUAUGCAGCUUUUGGCUCCUUACCUGCAGUAGGUGCACAGAGAUGCAUCUGCACCAUCCCAGCUGCAGCGGCGCGAUUCGGUGCCAUGGUCAAACCAGUGUACGAGCCACACACAGCGUUCCUCUCACCGCUGCUUGGACGAUGCCAGCAGCUCCUGUGCAUUCAACCGUCCGCUGGCAUGAAGACUAAAACUGCUCUCAAGAGACGCUGUAAAGAUUGCUUUUUUGUCCGCCGCCGUGGAAGGUUGUUUGUUUUUUGCAAAUCCCACCCCAGACACAAGCAACGGCAGGGGUGAAUGAAUUGAGACUUUAAUGUGUGCUGUCACCUCACUUACUGUUUCUCAAAGAAGACAUGAGAAUCGCUUGAAUGGUGUACCAAGCAUGUCAAGAUCAUUGAGUUUCUAAUGAAUAAACAUCCUCAUCUGAAAAGAUGCAUAAA
Molecule: long non-coding RNA, 907 nt
Organism: Carassius gibelio (silver crucian carp)
Lineage: Eukaryota; Metazoa; Chordata; Actinopteri; Cypriniformes; Cyprinidae
Exons: 2
Source: RefSeq, a predicted model, not a curated record